UACGUAGGGGGCGAGCGUUGUCCGGAUUUAUUGGGCGUAAAGAGCGUGUAGGCGGCUUGGUAGGUCUGCUGUGAAAACUCGGGGCUCAACCUCGAGACGCCGGUUGAAACCAUCUGGCUAGAGUCCGGAAGAGGAGAGUGGAAUUCCUGGUGUAGCGGUGAAAUGCGCAGAUAUCAGGAAGAACACCCGUGGCUAAGGCGGCUCUCUAGUACGGUACUGACGCUGAGACGCGAAAGCGUGGGGAGCGAACAGG
This 253-nucleotide ribosomal RNA is filed under the name uncultured bacterium. RNAcentral describes it as "partial 16S ribosomal RNA". It matches the Rfam family "Bacterial small subunit ribosomal RNA", at positions 524 to 776 of the family's 1533-position model. The record is from RNAcentral.